RNAcentral lists this ribosomal RNA (450 nucleotides) under uncultured Glomeromycotina. RNAcentral describes it as "SSU rRNA". It matches the Rfam family "Eukaryotic small subunit ribosomal RNA", at positions 569 to 1023 of the family's 1831-position model. The record is from RNAcentral. Lineage: Eukaryota; Fungi; Glomeromycota.
AGCAGCCGCGGUAAUUCCAGCUCCAAUAGCGUAUAUUAAAGUUGUUGCAGUUAAAAAGCUCGUAGUUGAAUUUCGGGAUUAGCAAGUUGGUCGUGCCUUCGGUAUGCACUGGCUUUGCUGAUUCCUCCUUCUUGAAGAACUGUAAUGCUAUUAAUUUAGUGUUGCAGGGAAACAGGACUGUUACUUUGAAAAAAUUAGAGUGUUUAAAGCAGGCUAACGCUUGAAUACAUUAGCAUGGAAUAAUGAAAUAGGACGUUCGAUCCUAUUUUGUUGGUUUCUAGGAUUGACGUAAUGAUUAAUAGGGAUAGUUGGGGGCAUUAGUAUUCAAUUGUCAGAGGUGAAAUUCUUGGAUUUAUUGAAGACUAACUACUGCGAAAGCAUUUGCCAAGGAUGUUUUCAUUAAUCAAGAACGAAAGUUAGGGGAUCGAAGACGAUCAGAUACCGUCGUAG